UACAGAGGUCUCGAGCGUUAGGCGGAAUCACUGGGCUUAAAGCGUGUGUAGGCGGAUCGGUAAGUCCCUUGUGAAAUCCCACAGCUUAACUGUGGAACUGCUUGGUAUACUGCCAGUCUUGAGCCACUUAGGGGCUACCGGAACAAAUGGUGGAGCGGUGAAAUGCGUAGAUAUCAUUUGGAACGCCAAUGGUGAAAACAGGUAGCUGGGAGUGUGCUGACGCUGAGACACGAAAGCGUGGGGAGCGAACAGG
RNAcentral lists this ribosomal RNA (253 nucleotides) under uncultured bacterium. Its description in RNAcentral is "partial 16S ribosomal RNA". It matches the Rfam family "Bacterial small subunit ribosomal RNA", at positions 524 to 776 of the family's 1533-position model. The record is from RNAcentral.